AGUCAAGUAAUUAAGUGCAUGUGGUGGAUGCCUUGGCAGUCAGAGGCGAUGAAAGACGUGAUAGCCUGCGAAAAGCUCCGGGGAGGCGGCAAAUAUCCUUUGAUCCGGAGAUGUCUGAAUGGGGGAACCCACCUACUUUAAGGUAGGUAUUGCAACAUGAAUACAUAGUGUUGCAAGGCGAACGAGGGGAAGUGAAACAUCUCAGUACCCUUAGGAAAAGAAAUCAAUUGAGAUUCCCUCAGUAGCGGCGAGCGAACGGGGAUCAGCCCAUUAAGUUAUGUGUGUUUUAGUGGAACGCUCUGGGAAGUGCGAACGUAGAGGGUGAUAUUCCCGUACACGAAAGGGCACACAUAAUGAUGACGAGUAGGGCGAGGCACGUGAAACCUUGUCUGAAUAUGGGGGGACCAUCCUCCAAGGCUAAAUACUCCUGACUGACCGAUAGUGAACCAGUACCGUGAGGGAAAGGCGAAAAGAACCCCUGUGAGGGGAGUGAAAUAGAUCCUGAAACCGCAUGCAUACAAGCAGUGGGAGCACCUUCGUGGUGUGACUGCGUACCUUUUGUAUAAUGGGUCAGCGACUUAUAUUCAGUAGCGAGGUUAACCGUAUAGGGGAGCCGUAGAGAAAUCGAGUCUUAAUAGGGCGUUUAGUUGCUGGGUAUAGACCCGAAACCAGGCGAUCUAUCCAUGAGCAGGUUGAAGGUUGGGUAACACUAACUGGAGGACCGAACCCACUGUCGUUGAAAAGCCAGGGGAUGACUUGUGGAUAGGGGUGAAAGGCUAAUCAAGCCUGGUGAUAGCUGGUUCUCCCCGAAAGCUAUUUAGGUAGCGCCUCGGACGAAUACCAUAGGGGGUAGAGCACUGUUUCGGCUAGGGGGUCAUCCCGACUUACCAAACCGAUGCAAACUCCGAAUACCUAUGAGUACUAUCCGGGAGACAGACUGCGGGUGCUAACGUCCGUAGUCAAGAGGAAAACAAUCCAGACCGCCAGCUAAGGCCCCAAAAUCAUAGUUAAGUGGGAAACGAUGUGGGAAGGCAUAGACAGCUAGGAGGUUGGCUUAGAAGCAGCCACCCUUUAAAGAAAGCGUAAUAGCUCACUAGUCGAGUCGGCCUGCGCGGAAGAUGUAACGGGGCUAAAACUAUGUGCCGAAGCUGCGGAUGUAUACUUUGUAUACGUGGUAGGGGAGCGUUCUGUAAGCCGAUGAAGGUGUGUUGAGAAGCAUGCUGGAGGUAUCAGAAGUGCGAAUGCUGACGUGAGUAACGACAAAACGGGUGAAAAACCCGUUCGCCGAAAGACCAAGGGUUCCAGUCCAACGUUAAUCGGGGCUGGGUGAGUCGACCCCUAAGGCGAGGCCGAAAGGCGUAGUCGAUGGGAAAAUGGUUAAUAUUCCAUUACUUCUGUGUAAUGCGAUGAGAGGACGGAGAAGGCUAAAUCAGCCUGGCGUUGGUUGUCCAGGUGAAAGGAUGUAGGCAUGUAUCUUAGGCAAAUCCGGGGUACUCUAUGCUGAGAUCUGAUAGCAAGCUGUACUUGUACAGCGAAGUGGUUGAUGCCAUGCUUCCAGGAAAAGUCUCUAAGCUUCAGUUACACAGGAAUCGUACCCGAAACCGACACAGGUGGUCAGGUCGAGUAGACCAAGGCGCUUGAGAGAACUCUGCUGAAGGAACUAGGCAAAAUGGUACCGUAACUUCGGGAGAAGGUACGCUGUUGUUGGUGAUGGAACUCGCUUCCUGAGCUGACGACAGCCGCAGAAACCAGGCCGCUGCAACUGUUUAUUAAAAACAUAGCACUCUGCAAACACGAAAGUGGACGUAUAGGGUGUGAUGCCUGCCCGGUGCUGGAAGGUUAAUUGAUGGGGUUAGCGUAAGCGAAGCUCUUGAUCGAAGCCCCAGUAAACGGCGGCCGUAACUAUAACGGUCCUAAGGUAGCGAAAUUCCUUGUCGGGUAAGUUCCGACCUGCACGAAUGGCAUAAUGAUGGCGGCGCUGUCUCCAGCAGAGGCUCAGUGAAAUCGAAAUCGCUGUGAAGAUGCAGUGUACCCGCGGCUAGACGGAAAGACCCCGUGAACCUUUACUGCAGCUUGACACUGAACUUUGACCUUACUUGUGUAGGAUAGGUGGGAGGCUUUGAAGC
Molecule: ribosomal RNA, 2126 nt
Filed under: Acinetobacter baumannii
Lineage: Bacteria; Pseudomonadati; Pseudomonadota; Gammaproteobacteria; Moraxellales; Moraxellaceae
Description: partial 23S ribosomal RNA
Rfam family: Bacterial large subunit ribosomal RNA
Source: RNAcentral